RNAcentral lists this ribosomal RNA (253 nucleotides) under uncultured bacterium. Its description in RNAcentral is "partial 16S ribosomal RNA". It matches the Rfam family "Bacterial small subunit ribosomal RNA", at positions 524 to 776 of the family's 1533-position model. The record is from RNAcentral.
UACGGAGGGUGCAAGCGUUAUCCGGAUUCACUGGGUUUAAAGGGUGUGUAGGCGGGCUUUUAAGUCAGUGGUGAAAUCUCCGGGCUCAACCCGGAAACUGCCAUUGAUACUAUUAGUCUUGAAUAUUGUUGAGGUAGGCGGAAUAUGUCAUGUAGCGGUGAAAUGCUUAGAUAUGACAUAGAACACCAAUUGCGAAGGCAGCUUACUACACAACGAUUGACGCUGAGGCACGAAAGCGUGGGGAUCAAACAGG